Molecule: ribosomal RNA, 566 nt
Filed under: uncultured bacterium
Lineage: Bacteria
Description: bacterial SSU rRNA
Rfam family: Bacterial small subunit ribosomal RNA
Source: RNAcentral
GGGCCCGCACAAGCAGCGGGAGCAUGUGGUUUAAUUCGACGCAACGCGAAGAACCUUACCUGGGCUUGACAUGUUGGUGACCGCCGUGGAAACACGGUUUUCCUUCGGGACACCAUCACAGGUGGUGCAUGGCUGUCGUCAGCUCGUGUCGUGAGAUGUUGGGUUAAGUCCCGCAACGGGCGCAACCCCCGUUCCAUGUUGCCAGCAUUCAGUUGGGGACUCAUGGGAGACUGCCGGUGACAAACCGGAGGAAGGUGGGGAUGACGUCAAGUCAUCAUGCCCCUUAUGUCCAGGGCUACACACGUGCUACAUUGGCGCAUACAAAGGGUUGCAAUACCGUGAGGUGGAGCGAAUCCCAUAAAGUGCGUCUCGGUUCGGAUUGGAGGCUGAAACUCGCCUCCAUGAAGGUGGAGUUGCUAGUAAUCGCGGAUCAGCAAUGCCGCGGUGAAUACGUUCCCGGGCCUUGUACACACCGCCCGUCACACCACGAAAGCGAGCAACACCCGAAGCCGGUGGCCUAACCGCAAGGAGGGAGCCGUCGAAGGUGGGGCCCCGUGAUUGGGGUG